This 497-nucleotide ribosomal RNA is filed under the name uncultured bacterium. RNAcentral's name for it is "partial 16S ribosomal RNA". It matches the Rfam family "Bacterial small subunit ribosomal RNA", at positions 28 to 507 of the family's 1533-position model. The record is from RNAcentral.
GAUGAACGCUGGCGGCGUGCCUAAUACAUGCAAGUCGUGCGAACAGACGAGGAGCUUGCUCCUCUGACGUUAGCGGCGGACGGGUGAGUAACACGUGGAUAACCUACCUAUAAGACUGGGAUAACUUCGGGAAACCGGAGCUAAUACCGGAUAACAUGUUGAACCGCAUGGUUCAACAGUGAAAGACGGUCUUGCUGUCACUUAUAGAUGGAUCCGCGCCGCAUUAGCUAGUUGGUAAGGUAACGGCUUACCAAGGCAACGAUGCGUAGCCGACCUGAGAGGGUGAUCGGCCACACUGGAACUGAGACACGGUCCAGACUCCUACGGGAGGCAGCAGUAGGGAAUCUUCCGCAAUGGGCGAAAGCCUGACGGAGCAACGCCGCGUGAGUGAAGAAGGUCUUCGGAUCGUAAAACUCUGUUAUUAGGGAAGAACAAAUGUGUAAGUAACUAUGCACGUCUUGACGGUACCUAAUCAGAAAGCCACGGCUAACUACGUG